CGAUUCACUCUCAUCCUCUGUCAUCUUCUGAGGGUAAACAUUUUCCUCUCUUUUUCUUAUAUUUUUCUUUAUAUGUCAUAAAAAUUACAUCUUUCACAUAUAUUUUGUUUGAUUGUGUACCGUGUACUUUUUUCUUUGAAAUAGUUUGCAUGCAUAAUGUAAAAUUUAUUAUUACUCACUAAUAUCAUAAAAAUCACAAAUUUCACACAUACUUUGAUCAUGUAUCGUAGAUCUUUUUUCUGAGAAAGGCUUUUCAUUCAUAUGGUUUCUGUGGCUCCAUUCAAGGUCAAGAUGUUCCGAAGGCAUUUGCUUUGGAAGAUUGUUGUUUCAUAUGUUCAACUUUGUUUUUUUUAA
This is a non-coding RNA of Lupinus albus (white lupine), 354 nucleotides long. NCBI's taxonomy places the organism in Eukaryota, Viridiplantae, Streptophyta, Magnoliopsida, Fabales, Fabaceae. The record is from the annotation of a GenBank genome assembly.